UAAGAAGAAUUUCGUGCUCAAAUACGCC
Molecule: small RNA, 28 nt
Filed under: Bombyx mori (domestic silkworm)
Lineage: Eukaryota; Metazoa; Arthropoda; Insecta; Lepidoptera; Bombycidae
Description: ovarian small RNA-19115
Source: RNAcentral